UUUAUGGAGAGUUUGAUCCUGGCUCAGGAUGAACGCUGGCGGCGUGCCUAAUACAUGCAAGUCGAGCGAACGGAUGAGAAGCUUGCUUCUCUGAUGUUAGCGGCGGACGGGUGAGUAACACGUGGAUAACCUACCUAUAAGACUGGGAUAACUUCGGGAAACCGGAGCUAAUACCGGAUAAUAUUUUGAACCGCAUGGUUCAAAAGUGAAAGACGGUCUUGCUGUCACUUAUAGAUGGAUCCGCGCUGCAUUAGCUAGUUGGUAAGGUAACGGCUUACCAAGGCAACGAUGCAUAGCCGACCUGAGAGGG
This 310-nucleotide ribosomal RNA is filed under the name Staphylococcus aureus. Its description in RNAcentral is "bacterial SSU rRNA". It matches the Rfam family "Bacterial small subunit ribosomal RNA", at positions 1 to 300 of the family's 1533-position model. Lineage: Bacteria; Bacillati; Bacillota; Bacilli; Caryophanales; Staphylococcaceae. The record is from RNAcentral.